Molecule: microRNA precursor, 217 nt
Filed under: Mus musculus (house mouse)
Lineage: Eukaryota; Metazoa; Chordata; Mammalia; Rodentia; Muridae
Description: predicted gene, 56354 (ENSMUSG00002076370.1)
Source: RNAcentral
UCUUCCUCUUCCUCUUCCUCUUCCUCUUCCUCUUCCUCUUCCUCUUCCUCUUCCUCUUCUUCUUCUUCUUCUUCUUCUUCUUCUUCUUCUAGCUUUUAGGUGUACUUGUAAAUUGCAGUUAUGAGAACUUUUUUAGUUUCUUUGUAGAGGCACUUAGUGCUAUGAAUUUUCCCGUUAGUAUUGCUUUCAUUGUGUCCUAUAAUCUUGGGUAUGCUUG